RNAcentral lists this ribosomal RNA (253 nucleotides) under uncultured bacterium. Its description in RNAcentral is "partial 16S ribosomal RNA". It matches the Rfam family "Bacterial small subunit ribosomal RNA", at positions 524 to 776 of the family's 1533-position model. The record is from RNAcentral.
UACGAAGGGGGCUAGCGUUGCUCGGAAUUACUGGGCGUAAAGCGCGUGUAGGCGGGGCUUUAAGUCAGGGGUGAAAUGCCAAGGCUCAACCUUGGAACUGCCUUUGAUACAGGAGAUCUUGAGUCCGGGAGAGGUGAGUGGAACUGCGAGUGUAGAGGUGAAAUUCGUAGAUAUUCGCAAGAACACCAGUGGCGAAGGCGGCUCACUGGCCCGGAACUGACGCUGAGACGCGAAAGCGUGGGGAGCAAACAGG